UACAGAGGCCCCAAGCGUUACUGAGAAUCACUGAGUUUAAAGGGUGCGUAGGUGGUCCGUUAAGUUCGUUGUGAAAUCCCUGGGCUCAACCCAGGAAAUGCUUCGAAUACUGGCGGACUUGAGGCUAGUAGAGGUCACUGGAACUGACGGUGGAGCGGUGAAAUGCGUAGAUAUCGUCAGGAACGCCGAUGGUGAAGACAGGUGACUGGGCUAGUUCUGACACUGAGGCACGAAAGCGUGGGGAGCGAACGGG
RNAcentral lists this ribosomal RNA (253 nucleotides) under uncultured bacterium. Its description in RNAcentral is "partial 16S ribosomal RNA". It matches the Rfam family "Bacterial small subunit ribosomal RNA", at positions 524 to 776 of the family's 1533-position model. The record is from RNAcentral.